Long non-coding RNA from Pristis pectinata (smalltooth sawfish), 736 nucleotides. RefSeq lists it as uncharacterized. The transcript has 4 exons. The record is from RefSeq and is a predicted model, not a curated record. NCBI's taxonomy places the organism in Eukaryota, Metazoa, Chordata, Chondrichthyes, Rhinopristiformes, Pristidae.
UGGAUACCCGCCUCCUUCCAGCGUCCCGACGGAGAGGUGGAAGAGAAGGCAGGAACCGCUCAAAAUAAAUGAGGUCAUCCGAGGAGAUCUUGCAGAGGAUAACUCAGUUAUUCUCCACCACUGAUAUUCGUCUGUAUCCAUUGGAUCUAAUGAAGCAGAGGUGGGGGCCUUGCCAGGGGAAAUGACCAGGAUGAAGAGAUUUUUUAAUGAAGUCAAGCACAUCAAAGGGUCUUCCAUUGGUCUGAUGUUCCAACACAUGGAGGAGUCUGGGCGCGUGCAGUGGCAACAGCAGGUUACAACCUCUUCUGUGAUUUUUGAUGGGAAACUGUUGUAAAACAAAUCCAUCUGUGGCGUCCUCGAGCCAUGGGGUUUAUGGACUCAUGAAACACUAGAAAUACCAAAGGUGUGACACACGAUGAAGGACGAGAACCAGGAGAUUGUUGCCAUUCACGUCAAGAAUCCAGACCUAUUGUUGACUUGGCUCACGUUACAAAGAACCUAGUCACCAAUAUUGUCCUGUUUUGUCUGAUGUAUGCACAAAUGCAUUUUUAAUCACAAGUUUUAACUUUGACAUUUGGAAGGAUAUUAGUUAGUGAACCUUUUGCCGUCAACAAUUUACUAUCUCAGGCAGAUUCACAAUAUCUGCCCUGUUCUUAAUGCAUUAAAAAAAGCAGAAGAAAAGCAUUCUCAGAAAGCUUGAAAGAAUGGACUUGAAAUACGAAACCCACCACGCAUG